RNAcentral lists this ribosomal RNA (484 nucleotides) under uncultured bacterium. Its description in RNAcentral is "partial 16S ribosomal RNA". It matches the Rfam family "Bacterial small subunit ribosomal RNA", at positions 28 to 507 of the family's 1533-position model. The record is from RNAcentral.
AUUGAACGCUGGCGGCAUGCUUUACACAUGCCAGUCGAACGGCAGCGCGGGCUUCGGCCUGGCGGCGAGUGGCGAACGGGUGAGUAAUGCAUCGGAACGUGCCCAGUAGUGGGGGAUAGCCCGGCGAAAGCCGGAUUAAUACCGCAUACGACCUGAGGGUGAAAGCGGGGGACCGAAAGGCCUCGCGCUAUUGGAGCGGCCGAUGUCGGGUUAGCUAGUUGGUGGGGGAAAGGCUUACCAAGGCGAGGAUCCGUAGCUGGUCUGAGAGGACGACCAGCCACACUGGGACUGAGACACGGCCAAGACUCCUACGGGAGGCAGCAGUGGGGAAUUUUGGACAAUGGGGGCAACCCUGAUCCAGCCAUGCCGCGUGCGGGAAGAAGGCCUUCGGGUUGUAAACCGCUUUUGUUCGGGAAGAAAUCCUCUGGGCUAAUACCCCGGGGGGAUGACGGUACCGGAAGAAUAAGCACCGGCUAACUACGUG